RNAcentral lists this transfer RNA (72 nucleotides) under Bos taurus (domestic cattle). It matches the Rfam family "tRNA". From Rfam's summary of the family: Transfer RNA (tRNA) molecules are approximately 80 nucleotides in length. Their secondary structure includes four short double-helical elements and three loops (D, anti-codon, and T loops). Lineage: Eukaryota; Metazoa; Chordata; Mammalia; Artiodactyla; Bovidae. RNAcentral also lists the same sequence under 2 other names. The record is from Rfam by way of RNAcentral.
UCCCUUGUGGCUCAGAAGGUAAAGAAUCUGCCUUCAGUGCAGGAGACCCAGGUUUGAUCCCUGGGUUGGGAA